GUCUACAGCCAUUCCACCCUGAACAAGCCUGAUCCCAUCUGAUCUCAGAAGCUAAGCAGGGCUGGGCCUGGUUAGUACUUGGAUGGGAGACCACCUAGGAAGACCAGGUGCUGUAGGCA
Molecule: ribosomal RNA, 119 nt
Filed under: Pteropus alecto (black flying fox)
Lineage: Eukaryota; Metazoa; Chordata; Mammalia; Chiroptera; Pteropodidae
Source: RNAcentral